GCCAUGGCUGGCAGGUGAUUCCGGACUGUCCCCCAGGUGGUUCUGGCAUACCAAGCAGUUGAUAUUGGCCUGUCAGGCAGGUGGUUCCAGCGAGUAGAGAAGGUGGUUCCGUUCUGUCCUAUAGGUCAUUCCGGCAUGUCUGGCACGUGCUUCUGGCACGUCUGAGAGGUGGUUCUGGCAUGCGAGGCAGGUGAUUCCGGAGUGUCGUGUAAGUGGUUCUGGUGUAGCCGGCAGUUCAUUUUGGCAUGUACGGCACGUGGGUCCUGAGAGUCGAGCAGGUGGUUUCGGUGUGCUCGGAAGGUGGUCCAGGCGUGUCCGGCAUGUGGUUCCAGUCUGUCCAGGACGUGGUUCCAGCGUCUCCGGCACACGGUUCUGUUGCAUCUGAGACGUGGCUCCUGCAUGCACGGCAGGUGAUUCCGGACAGUCCGCCAGGUGGUUCCCACAUAGCCAGCUAUUGAUUUUGGCCUUUACGUCAGGUGGUUCUGGCGAGUCGAGCAGGUGGUUCUGACGUCCUCGGCAGGUGCUUCCGGUGUCAUUGGUACGUGUUUCUGGCAUGUCUGAGAGGUGGUUCCGGCAUGCCCGGCAGGUGAUUCCGGAGUGUUCGCCAAGUGGUUCUGGUGUAGCCGGCAGGUGCUUCCGGUGUCAUUGGUACGUGUUUCUGGCAUGUCUGAGAGGUGGUUCCGGCAUGCCCGGCAGGUGAUUCCGGAGUGUUCGCCAAGUGGUUCUGGCAUAGCCGGCAGGUGAUUUUGCAUGUCCGGUGGUGGUUCCAGUGAGUCGAGCCGGUGGCUCCGGCGUGCUCAACAGUUGGUUCAGGCAGGUCCGGCAGGUGGUUCCGGUCUGUCCGGGAUCUGGUUCCGGCAUGUCUGGCACGUGGUUCUGGUACGUCUCAGAGGUGGUUCUGGCAUGCCCGGCCAGUGAUCCCGGAGAGUCCACCAAGUGAUUCUGGCGUAACCGGCAGGUGAUUUUUGCAUGUCCAGCAGGUGGUUCUGGCGAGUCGAGCAAGUGGUUCCGGCGUGCUCGGCAGGUGCUUCUGGUGUCAUUGGCAUGUGGUUCAGGCAUGUCUGAGUGGUGGUUCCGGCAUGCCCAGCAGGUGAUUCCGGAGUGUUCGCCAAGUGGUUCUGGCGUAGCCGGCAGUUGAUUUUGCAUGUCCGGCGGUGGUUCCAGUGAGUCGAGCCGGUGGCUCCGGCAUGUCCGUCAGGUGGUUCCGGUCUGUCCGGCAAGUGGUUCUGGGGUGUCCGGCACGAGGUUCUGGCACGUCUGAGAGGUUGUGUCGGCAUGCCCUUCACAAGAUUCCGACUUUUCCGCCAAGUAAUUCUGGUGUAGAGGGCAGGUGAUUUUGGCGUGUCCGGCAGGUGGGACCGGUGAGUCAAGCAGGUGGUUCCGGCGAGUGUUUCCUGUGGUUCCGGUCUGUCCGGGAGAUGGUUCCGGCCUGUCCGGCACAUGCUUCUGGCACUUCUGAGAGGAAACUGAGAAAGAAGCGCAACAGAGGCUAGCUCAGGUGGCAAUCGUUAAGCAAAAGAAACACACAAGGGCGUGGAGACCCGGGUAAAAAGCAGCACGGAGAAAUCCACCCUCUGAAACUGACGAACAUGGGCAACAGAGGCUAGCUCAGGUGGCAAUCGUUAAGCAAAAAUAAUAAAAAAUAAAAAAAUACAAUGGCGAGGAGACCCGGUGAAAAAGCAACCAUGAAAAAAGGUACCCUCUGAAACGGAGGAAGCAGGGCAACAGAGCCUAGCUCAGGUGACAAUCUUUAAGCCAAAAAAAAAAAAAGAAAAGAGCAAGGGAGUAGAGACCUUGGGAAAGAGCGAUACUGAAAAAUCUAGCCUCUGAAACUGACAAAGAUGGGCAACACACGUUAGCUCAAGUGCCAAUCUUGCAAAGAAAACACACACACUCACACACACACACUGAGGGACUUGGAGACCUGGGGAAAAAGCAACACUGAGAAACCUACCCUCUCAAACUGACGAAGAUGGGCAACAGAUGCUAGCUUAGGUUCAAUAUUUGAGCAAAAAAAAAAAAAAACACACACACACACAAGGGCGUGCAGAACUUGGGAAAGAGCAAGACUGAGAAAUCUACCCUCUGAAACUGACAAAGAUGGGAAACAGAGGCUUAGCUCAGGUGGCAAUCUUUAAGCAAAAAAAAAAACAAAAAAACAGAAAAAAAACCCCACAAUGGAGUGGAGACCCGGGGGAAAUCAACACUGAAAAAUACAAAUACAAUGGAAGGCCAAUAGACAGAGCAGGCACUUUCACCUGGGGAGGAGGAGGUACGCAUGGAUGACCAAUAAGCGCAUGAAAAGAUGUGAGCUGUUCCCUGGAAAAGCAAGUGAGAAAAUUAGAGGGAGACAUUGUGGGGACACAUGGGUGAGACUGGCUUCUUCCAAAUACAGGAACAGGAUCAAACUGCUAGUGAGGUCGCGGAGAAGCCAAGUCAGUCACUCACGCCUCACUGGUGGUGAAGGGAAACAGUAUGGCCUCUGUGAAAAAUGGCGUGGCGGGUUCCAAAACUCACACGCCGCGGAAACAACCACCGAAAGUGGCAACCUACAUAAGCCCUUGGUGUAUCUUGCCUCCUAAGAGCGUCUGUAUGUAGCUGGAGCCUUGGGUUGUUAAGGCUUCCACAGUGAUCUGUGGUGGUGGGGGGGGGCCUUGGGCCUUGGGGGUCUCCGCUGGACCUCCAGGAAGUCAGCUUCUGUGGAGUCCCGUGAGUCCUUCCAGGGAGGGAGGCAUCCAACCCGAGGGUGGUCUGGAGGGCACCACUCCCGCCACUCCCGGGGGCUGGGGCGGGGGGCGGGGUGGGGGCUGCGGCCACGUUCCUGUUCAUUCACACAGAAUCCGGGGCAUGAAUGUUCUUAGCAGCUCUGUUCCACACAGACCCACACUGGAAACCACACAGACGUCCUGCAAGUCCCAUCCCUUGCUCAUGUCGCCGGGGCUCCGGAGGAGGGCCACUCUGUAAAAGCGGCCGCCAGAUGGCGCCCAACAACCGGCGCGGAGGGGUCAGCGGGAGGGAACCGGGUCACCGGCCAGCGAGAGUGCACAGCCUGAGCCCACCGCCGGGUCAGGUCUCUCUCUGUCUACCUCUGUCUCUGUCUCUCUGUCUCUCUGUCUCUGACUCUGUCUCUCUCUCUCUUUCUCUCUGGGCCCGCUUGGGGCGGCCGGGAGGUCACCACGCGAGGCCCCAGGGUGUCCACCUCGGAGCUCCCAGGCAGCACAGGGCAACCCUGGGCGCAGAAGGAGGUCUUGGAAAAUCGGCGGGGAGGGGGGUGGGGUGGGUGGGCUUGCCAGGAAGGGGACAGACUCCCCACGUGACUCCUGGGCCGGGCCGGGGCUGCCGGCUGGCUGACGCGGACAGAGGGUGGAAAAGUCCCCGGAGAUGCCACGGGGCAGGCCGGGGCUGCCGGCCCCCGAUUCCCUGAGCGGCCCGAGCACUUCCCGGGUCCCGGGAGGACUUAGAAAAUCAGGGCGGGGUGGGGGGUGGGGGUCGCUGUCAAACCGAAACCACGCACGUCAUCAGAGAAGGACCGUGACGACGGAGGAAUUGUCCGCAGUCUGUCAGGAAUUGUGUGCAGCCUGUCACUUCCGGCCCAGAGGGUCUUUCUAAGGCAGACGGACAGACAGAGCCCACAAGUCGUAGAGGAAAGGACCGAGCCGCUUGGCCGCUGAAAAGUUUACAAGACAAAACGGGUCUCCCUCCGCACGGGGCCACAGCAAAGCCCAAAGACGACACACGGGGGGAGCAUGGGUGCAGAUUCACGUGUGGUGAUAAGAAUAUGGAUUUCAGCAGGGCUUCCCGUCCUCAUCAACAAGCAGAAGCACCCAAAUGGUGCGGGUUGGGGGCAGAGACCUCACAGCCAUUCCCUCCACAAAUCGAGUUCCCCGGGACAUCCUCACAGCGCCGUGCUGUGAGUGUGUGUGGGUGUUUAAAAUGGGGUAAAUGUGGACGUGGAACUGCUCCGGUGAAACCAAAAUAACAACAGUCGUAGAUCUUCUUUGGUCAUUUAGAAAAUUCUUUCCCCCCCCCCCCCCAGCGGUGCACGUAUUUCCCUUCCAAAAAAGAAGAACGGGAAAGGAGAUGUUAAAGGCAAGCAGAGAGAGGAAAACUGUUGCAAAACAAAAGCUGAGCUCCCGUCCGAGGGAGGCCUCCUCCGUUAGAGGGCCUAGGAAAUCAUUCUGACAAAAUGGAGGAUCUCUGUCUUUGGUGUCGAUUCCCUCAGAGGUCAAGAGAAACCUUUUCCAAUGUCUUUACCAGGAGGAGACUAGAAGUUAGAGAAAAGUAUCCUUUCGAGAGCGAGAAAAACCAAUUCUGAUUUUGCAUCAGCUUCCCUCCGAUCUUGAAACUCAUUGACUUGAUUCCAUUCUGUCGAUGGAAAUAAUCCGGAACCAAUCUAUCCGUGAAAAUCGGGGUGAGUUUAUUCUGACCUAAGAUGUGAGGACUGUGGCCCGGGGCCUUUCUUCCCGAAGGAAGAAAGGGCGCCCGGGAAGUGGGGUGUACAGAGUGCUUCUAGACCCCCAGAGAGGACGUUUCACAUAGGAUCGAAAGGUCCCUUGGACGAUAGUCGCGACACUGCUCUGUCAGCACAGCGAUCGACAGACACUGCUGGGUGGCAGGUCUGUUGUCUGGGCCUGGGUGGUCACAGGUGAGCCGGAUGGUCAAAGGUGAGCGCAACCAUCCGUUCCUAGCCUAAGGAAAGAUGCCUCUCCUUAAGGAAAGGCCCGAGCACGGGGAAGCUGCUCCUUUCCCUUAAGGGCAUUGGUUCUUGCCGUAGGAAAUGUUUAAAGCAGAUCUACGAUGCGAUGCGUGCUCGACGGCCACGUCAGGCCCUUUUGGAAAAACACUGUCAGGCCGAAUUAGGCCGACACCCAAUGGCUUCCUCAUAGACUCCAAUAGAUCCUAUCGCUCGCCAUUUCUAUCUGUCCACUCGUUCCAAUUUUAGGCCACUUGACCACGAACAGACCUUUUUCUCAGAUUUUUUUCCCCGUGAUCACCUUUUCACAGACAAAACGAUCUUUACUUUUUAGGCCCUCUUGCCUGAAGGCAGCCAUCUCACUUUCCUUGAACACAAAGAUGUUUCCCAUAUUCACUUUUAGUGGCUUUUUGUUUUGUUUUGUGUUGUUUUGUUUUGAGGACGAUGAGCCCUGAGCUAACUGCUGCCAAUCCUCCUCUUUUUGCCGAGGAAGGCUGGCCCUGAGCUAACCUCCGUGCCCAUCUUCCUCUAUUUCAUAUGUGGGACGCCUACCACCACGUGGCUCGCCCAGCGGUGCCACGUCCACCCCCGGGAUCCGAACCGGCGAACCCCGGGCCGGCGAAGUGGAACAGGCACACUUAACCAGCGCGCCACUGGGCCGGCCUAGUGGCUUUCAUCGCAUUCGUUAAGUAGAAUUUUUAACCCUCACGAACCUUAAUUUUGGUGAAAACUAAGAAGUCAGCAAUUAGGAACUGUCCUUCCCAUGAGCAGUCUGUCGCUUGGCCAAUUUCUAAACACUUGGCCACUUUUAGAAACAUGGGAUUUCAUAGGUUUAUCUCUUCCUUCGCUUUAUUUGAUUUCAUCUCACUUUAGUUUUUGGGUGAGGAAGAUCGGCCCUCACAGAGUUAACGCCUGUUGCCAAUCUUCCUCUUCUUUCUGCUUGAGGGAGAGCGGGCCCGAGGUAACACCUGCGCCCCACUUCCUUGAUCUUGCGGACGGGAUGCCGCCACAGCCCGGUGUGAGGAGCGGUGGAGGUCCACGCCCGGGAUCUGAACCCGAGGACCCCAGGCUGCCGAAGCUGAGUGCAGGAGCUUAACCACUAUGCCGCCGGGCCGCCGUCCCCUGUCAAAGCUUUUAAUAAAGCACGAGACGUGUUCCUCGAUAGACCCAAACGUCUUUUCGUUUCCGUAUCCUCACAAACCCAAAGUAGAUAAACUUCUAUUUAGCCACUCACGUCUCAGGUUCUAUCUUACUAGGAAAUGAUCUACAUCGUCAGGGAAAUUGUUUUUGUCUUAAGUUUGGCACCCGAGCUAACGACUCUUGCCAAUCUUCCGUUUUUGUUUUUUUCCCCCCCUCCCGAUUUUUCUCCCCAAAUCCCCCCCAUGACAUAGUUGUCUAUCUUAGUUGAGGGCCGUUCUAGUGGUGGCAUGCGGGACGCCGCCUCCACACGGCCCGACGAGCGGUGCCGUGUCCGUGCCCGGGAUCUGAACGGGCAAAACCCUGGGCCGCCGAAGGGGAGCGUGUGAACUUAACCACUCGGCCACGGGGCUGCCCCCGUCCGUGGACUUUUUUAUCACCUGAUUUCACCUCGCAAAACUUCAAAGCUUCAAGUUAUCAGAGAGGUUUGGGAAGUUGUUUCUAUUUAUUUAAUUAAUUUAUUUUUCGAGGAAGACGAGCCCCGAGCUGACACCUGCUGCCAAUUCUCCUCUUUUUGCCCCGGGAGAGUGGUCCCGAGCUAACAUCCGUGCCCAUCCUCCUCCCGUUGAUAGGCGGGACGCCGACCACAGCAUGGCUCACCAAGCGGCGCCACGUCCGCACCCCGGAUCCGAACCGGCGAACCCCUGGCCGACAAAAUGGAACGUGCGAACAUAACUGCUGUGCCGCCGGGCUGGCCCUUCGGGAAGUUCUUUUCAGGACACGGGCCAUAAACUAGAAUCACCGCUACAGGUUUAUCGGAGCGACAUCAGCGUUCGUGGUGGAUUGAGUCGUCCCCUCUGUCUCUCCCCUCCAGGGGACAACCAAAGGGACGUCUAUCGACCCACCCACCAAGGAUUCCCCCCCGCAUGGCACAGCAGGAUGCCUGAGAGAUCCACGCAGCCCUACAGCGGCAAGUCACAUUCGCACAGUCAAAAUUCAAUGGCAGAGGGGGCUGGCCCCGUGGCCGAGUGGUUAAGUUCGCGCGCUCCGCUGCAGGCGGCCCAGUGUUUCGUGGGUUCGAAUCCUGGGCGCGGACAUGGCACUGUUCAUCAGACCACGCUGAGGCAGCGUCCCACAUGCCACAACUAGAAGAACCCACAACGAAGAAUACACAACUAUGUACCGGGGGGCUUUGGGGAGAAAAAGGAAAAAAUAAAAUCUUUAAAAAAAAAAUUCAAUGGCAGAGACAAAACGUUAAGGUCAGCGAGAGGGAAGAGAAUAACCGGCCCAGGAGCAACGGUGUGAAGAACAUGGAGAAGACGGGUCCUAGACGCUGGGGUCCCCGGAGCAGCGAUUUCAUCAGAGGCCCGCGAACGUCCACGAUCUCCACACCACGUUUAUGGCCGACUGCGUGUGUGGGUCCUUUGGAAUCGACCAGGCUACUGUCUGGGCCACUUUGGGACAUCGUGUCUAGCUGCCCCGAGCGGUGGAGCUGUCGUUCGAGUGUAAGAUGGGGCCCAUCCGGGGAGAGCAUGGGGACGGGGAAAGGGAGGCCGCGGGAAGUCACAGAGUCUGAGGUGUUCGGGGGAGACCGACUCUUCUAAAGUGGAGGCGGUAGAAGGAGAGCAGCAGGAUUUUUGGAUUUUUGUUCUCUCUGUUAGGUAUCUGGGUCCGGAGGAGAGUGGGGCGGGGGGGGAUGGUUGUGGUGGUGGUGGUGGUGGUGGUGGGUGUGAGGCUGAGGCAGGGCUGGUGUUUCCUUUCCGGGUCAGGUGAAAGAGCUCCUCCAGUGGAGGUUUUUGGACAAGGGGUCUGGUCUGGCAGGAUGGGAGGUUGCGGGUCGAGCCACAGGGGAAUCUGUCGUAGCUCAGACUCGGGCCUUUGAAGAAAUAGACAGAGAGAGGAGUUUUGCUCUGUCUGUCACCGCAGCCGGCACCUCAGGAGCAACAACAGAAGGCUUCCCGAAUGAGUGAAGGGGCAG
This 7808-nucleotide long non-coding RNA is filed under the name Equus caballus (horse). Its description in RNAcentral is "lncRNA (ENSECAG00000056625.1)". The record is from RNAcentral. Lineage: Eukaryota; Metazoa; Chordata; Mammalia; Perissodactyla; Equidae.